GCCGGGUGGGGUGGCGCAUGCCUGUAAUCCCAGCAGCUCAGGAGGCUGAGACAGGAGGAUCGCAGGUUCAAAGCCAGCCUUAGCAAUAGUGAGGCACUAAGCAACUCACUGAGACCCUGUCUCUA
This 125-nucleotide small RNA is filed under the name Marmota monax (woodchuck). The record is from RNAcentral. Lineage: Eukaryota; Metazoa; Chordata; Mammalia; Rodentia; Sciuridae.